UACGUAGGGGGCAAGCGUUGUCCGGAAUUAUUGGGCGUAAAGAGCGUGUAGGCGGUCCGGUAAGUCAGCUGUGAAAGUCAAGGGCUCAACCCUUGAAUGCCGGUUGAUACUGUCGGGCUAGAGUCCGGAAGAGGCGAGUGGAAUUCCCGGUGUAGCGGUGAAAUGCGCAGAUAUCGGGAGGAACACCAAUGGCGAAGGCAGCUCGCUGGGCCUGUACUGACGCUCAUGCACGAAAGCGUGGGGAGCGAACAGG
Molecule: ribosomal RNA, 253 nt
Filed under: uncultured bacterium
Lineage: Bacteria
Description: partial 16S ribosomal RNA
Rfam family: Bacterial small subunit ribosomal RNA
Source: RNAcentral